GAACUUUGCUCCAUAAUCUCUAAAGGAAGAUUCCCAUCUCACCUUUUGUUACUAUGGAGAUGUGAUGUGGAAAAUUCACACCUUUUGUUACUAUGGAGAUAUGAUAUGGAAAAUUCAUAACAAAAAAUAAUGAAUUUCUAUUCUACCCUUACUAGCACAUUGUUCAUGAGAAUGUUACUUGCCCAAGUUACUAAUAUAUCUAACCUUCAAUUUUCCCCUGUACAAAAAAUGGAAGAAGAUAAUCUAAUUUACAAAGUUAGCAUAUAGACUGAUGUACAUAAAGUACCUAGCACCGUGCCUAGUAUGUAGUAAAAUUGAUUGUGUAAAUAUAAAUAGUAGACUCUAGGGGGUCUCUUUAACCCUGGGUUUCUAUUGACAUAAUUUUCCUACUAACACAGAUCUGAAAAUAGUAAUAGUGACCCCACAAUAAUAUUUCAUCAUAAUUUCUGCAACCCCUCCCUUAGAGUUAUUUUUUUGUUUGUUUGUUUUAAUGAACCAAAUAAGGAGAAAAGAUUCUUUGUUGUUUUCCCUCUCUUUAAGGUGUAUGUGAACUCUCACAUAAUCUCAUUCAAUAUUACCAAUUGUUGUCAAACUCAGAAGAUAAUGGGUGAAAUUUCAAGUUAUAAUAAUAUAACAGAUUAUAGGGAAUAAGGACAGGCUUUGGACAUAUUUCAAAUAUCUUGGCUUCUUGAGAAAGCAGAUACUAAAUCUGUCACUAGACUCAGAAUCAAGUAGUCAGCCUUUGGCCCUAUUCCAGUAUAUAAUGGAACAAAUUCCAGACCUCUCCAAGAGUAAUUCUUUUUGCAGUCCAGAGACAUAAGGCUGCUAUAGUUAGAUGUUAAUAAAAGAUCUAAAUGCAGUGGAGCAAAAGACAGGAGGAGAAAGUCUUGGUGAGUAAGCCAAAUGGGCCAGCUAUCUGUCGUCUGGCAGCUGUCAGGAAGAAAGAGCAAAGAAUAGAAUUAUAAAGCAUGGCUACAUUUGCAGAUUAAAGAAAAUAACUCAUUUUCAGAUAAUUUUAAGAAAAUCAGAGUUAUAUACAGCUAUAAAGUUAAAGUUAUAGAGAUUAAGUAUAUAUUAUGUAAAAACGAAAAAAUAGAAUUCAAGAAUUUGGUGAAAAUUCUCUCAAUCCAAAAUUGUUCUUCUGUAAUGAAAUUAUAACUUCCAUCAUUUAUUAUUUCCAUUAAAAUGGAAGUCUGGUCUGAUUAGCUCAACAUAGAAUUUAAAAUUUAAAUCUUUAAAUUGAAUCCUGAUAUUACAUGGUUAUUCAGGCCAGGUGUAUGUUAAAGUAGACAGUAGCAUGUAGAUAAUAAUAAACAUCAUUUCUUGAACUAAUUCCUCCAGGGUAAUUUUAUUGGUGACCACAUGAUUGAGGUAAUGGUUGGUUCUGGUCAAUUAAAUUAAGUAAAUGCAAUUCUUUUCUAAUUUGAACAAUUUCAUUCAGAAUUAAAGUUAAAAAUAUUUUUCUAUAUUAAGCUACUCCAUCAGGAAAUUAUGAAAAAUUAUCAACUGAAGUUGAAAAAUAAAUGUCAAUGAGAAAUCCCCAACUAUAUGUGCAGUAAUUUAGGAUAUGUUUAUUCAUUCCAUUCUCAUAAUCAGUUAUGUAGAAAUUCAUAUCUACCAAAGCACAGUUUUAAAGUAAAGAUCUGGGAAGUUUCUUGGCAUCAAACUAAUGGUUACAGAAUAAUAUCAAUGUCACUUCCACAAUGCUUAAAUAUUCGUAGGUGACUAAAAUUGAUAUGUACCAAUUCCAACAAGGUAGAUCAUUGUAGAAGUGACUCACACCUAGGACUCUAUACCAAAUAUUAAACCUAAAUCUCAACAAAAAGGAGUAAAACAAGAAUUUGACUAUGCAAAGUAUGAAGAAUAUGAAGAAAUUUGAUGUCAAAAAGGCAAACGAAAUUUCAUAAAUGGAAAACACAAACAUUUGUGCAAAAACACAAAUUGAAUUUAUAUUAAAUCUAGAUUUAAUAUACAUUAGUAAACAUUAAACAUAUAAACAAUAAAGAUGGGUAGCAAAGAAUAUUUUCUAUAGGAAUGACAUUAUGGAAAAUGACAGAGUAGGACAUUCAAAUAAAUGGCCCCUCCCCUGAAAGAAAGAUAUACUCACAAAGAUUCACUAAUUCAAUUUUUCUUUGGAAAUGUGGGAACUAAUCCAAAACUUUCAUCGACCAGAGGACUACUUACUAAAGAAAAGCAAUUUCUAUGGUAUAUCCACUCACAUACUAUCUCCUAUUCUCCAGUAGCCAGUGUCCCCAGUGUAGGUGGCUGGUUCAGAGGGCUAAUACUGAUCUUGUUCUUAAAAUACUGUGGUUGUGCUUUUUCAAUAUGAAUUUUAGUGUAUAUUUGACUUACAAAUUUGUUUUAGUUUCAGGUGAACAACAAAGUAAAUCAGAUUCUUUUCCCAUAGAGGUUGUUACACAGUAUUGAAUACAUUAUCCUAUGCUAUACGAGACUUUUCCAAACUAAAGGGGGAAAAACCCUGGAGGGCCGCCUCUGGCUCCUCAGACAGCCCUGACCAAAUAACCUAUUUCAACUGGGAACAUUGUAGGUUGUUUCUCUAAAAAACUUUUUUAGAUGGAAUGGGGGGUAUCUUGUUUAUUUUCAUUUAAUUGGUCUAUUUAUAACAUUUCAUUAUUUUUAAUAAACACUUUAAAUGCCAAGAUCAUGAAAAUGAAGGAAAAAUGGAGAAAUUCUUCCAAAUUGAAGGCUACUAAAGAGACAUGACAAAUACUAUACUGUAUCAUCUUGGACUGGAAUCUUUCUAUAAAUGCCAUUGUUGGAAUAACUGGUUAUUUCUAAAUGGAAUCUGGAUUAGAUGAUUUUAAGUGUAUUGAUGUUAAUAUCCUGAUUUUGAUUGUGACUCUAUGGCUGUGGUCUUUUAAAUGCAUGCUAGUUUUCAAAGACAAUGGGAAUAAUGCAGUAGUUAGAGAAUGUUAUAAAGUGCUAAGAAUAGUGAAAUUAAGGUAGUAAAGGUUGUUAUUUGUGUUUAAUCUUCCCAUACCACUUUAAUGCAUGUAUUCCUGGGUUCCAUCGAUUUAAAUCUGCUGAUCCCUGUAAACAUGCUUGCCUUUGCAAUUCUGUUCACUUUCUUGGUUGUAACUUCUACUUUGUUUUUAAUGAAUUGCAAAUCCAUACAUUCACUCCAGGACUUGUUCUUAGCGUCCCACU
RNAcentral lists this long non-coding RNA (3168 nucleotides) under Sus scrofa (pig). Lineage: Eukaryota; Metazoa; Chordata; Mammalia; Artiodactyla; Suidae. The record is from RNAcentral.